ACGCUCGACACCUACGGGAGGUAGCAGUGGGGAAUAUUGCACAAUGGGGGAAACCCUGAUGCAGCGACGCCGCGUGAGUGAAGAAGUAUUUCGGUAUGUAAAGCUCUAUCAGCAGGGAAGAGAAUGACGGUACCUGACUAAGAAGCCCCGGCUAACUACGUGCCGGCAGCCGCGGUAAUCUGAGCGGGCUGGCAAGGC
RNAcentral lists this ribosomal RNA (198 nucleotides) under uncultured bacterium. RNAcentral describes it as "partial 16S ribosomal RNA". It matches the Rfam family "Bacterial small subunit ribosomal RNA", at positions 328 to 539 of the family's 1533-position model. The record is from RNAcentral.